RNAcentral lists this long non-coding RNA (628 nucleotides) under Coffea arabica (coffee). Its description in RNAcentral is "long non-coding RNA (CARA_LNC003039)". Lineage: Eukaryota; Viridiplantae; Streptophyta; Magnoliopsida; Gentianales; Rubiaceae. The record is from RNAcentral.
AAAGAUUACAUCAUGCUUGCUUCAAAAAUCAAAAUGGGUCCUGUUUAGCUCAAAUUCCACUACGCAAAUGCUCAGGAUUCGGUCAAUUGACCCAUCUGAUUUCGACUUUGACUUGCAUUACAGGAUUCGUUGUAUUUGGAUGCCAGCUUGACCCGGCGUUGAAUCAACCGGUGGCCGGUGGUUGGCCCUGCCAGGAGUCAAUACUUGACUGGUUGGGUUUACCACUUUGCUGGCUUUUACUUGCUCGCCUUUUUGUUGUCUACCCUGCUUUCGUUGCCUCGGGGCUCCCUUGUUCAUAAGUCUAACAAAAUGUCUUCUAACUCUAAAUCUCAUAAAGAGAAAAAAGAGAAAUUUAAGAGCAGAAUAAAAAAAAAUUUUACAGUCAUUCAGCUGACGUCGUUACCAAUUCAAUGGCGGCGUUUGGAAGACAUGAAGAGAGAGAAUACUUACCAGUUACCAGUACUAGAAUGGUUAUAUUCUAUCAGAAGAGGCUGCUCUAACGAUAAGGGAAACUUUGCAAAUUGACUAAUAGCCGAAACAUUUGACGAUGAUCUUGAAUCAUGAUGCCUGAAACGAAAAAGAAGAAGCAGAUGUUAAGUUUCAGAGGCCCGCUUAAAAAAUAAAAUAU